GAAAUGCGAUAAGUAAUGUGAAUUGCAGAAUUCAGUGAAUCAUCGAAUCUUUGAACGCACCUUGCGCUCCUUGGUAUUCCUUGGAGCAUGCCUGUUUGAGUAUCAUGAAAUCUUCAAAGUAAAUCUUUUGUUAACUCAAUUGGUUUCUACUUUGGUAUUGGAGGUCUUUGCAGCUUCACACCUGCUCCUCUUUGUUCAUUAGCUGGAUCUCAGUGUUAUGCUUGGUUCCACUCGGCGUGAUAAGUUAUCUAUCGCUGAGGACACUGUAAAAGGUGGCCAAGGUAAAUGCAGAUGAACCGCUUCUAAUAGUCCAUUGAAUUGGACAAUACUUUUAUGAUCUGAUCUCAAAUCAGGUAGGACUACCCGCUGAACUUAAG
Molecule: unclassified non-coding RNA, 377 nt
Filed under: plant metagenome
Description: partial contains 5.8S ribosomal RNA, internal transcribed spacer 2, and large subunit ribosomal RNA
Rfam family: 5.8S ribosomal RNA (bases 1-105)
Source: RNAcentral